GUGGACGAACCUAAGCAUUCAUUUAUUUUAUAUAUGUAAUUGUAAGUAGGCAAGAAAACUAAUAAAAUGUAAGAAAAUGGAGUUAUCAUUUUUGCAACUGAAACUACAGAUAUUUUGCUUUGCACACAUAUGCAUUGUACGCAUUGUUGUACUGUAAUGUUUGUGAGAGAUUUAUAAAUAAUGAUAUCAAGUUUUAUCCAUAGCCAGGGAACGGAUUUUAUGAAUACUGUAUGUAUGUAUGUAUGUAUG
Long non-coding RNA from Rhagoletis zephyria (snowberry fruit fly), 249 nucleotides. RefSeq lists it as uncharacterized. The record is from RefSeq and is a predicted model, not a curated record. Lineage: Eukaryota; Metazoa; Arthropoda; Insecta; Diptera; Tephritidae.